RNAcentral lists this ribosomal RNA (577 nucleotides) under Cheilosia alpina. RNAcentral describes it as "eukaryotic LSU rRNA". Lineage: Eukaryota; Metazoa; Arthropoda; Insecta; Diptera; Syrphidae. The record is from RNAcentral.
GAGUUCAAGAGUACGUGAAACUGCUUAGAGGUUAAGCCGAUGAACCUGAAUAUCCGUUAUGGAAAAUUCAUCACUAAUACUAUGAUAUUUAUAAUAUUAUAGAAAUGGUGUGCAAUUUUUCCAUAUAAGGACAUUGUAAUCUGUUAAUGUAUUAAAUAUUUAUUAAAAGAUCUUAUACUUAAGUUUAUUCAAAUUAGUUAUUUUCGGAUUUCUAACAUAGAAUAAAUGUAUUUGAUUUAAUAAAUCAUUGACAGAUUUUAUUAUAAUAUAGUGCUCAAAUUUUGAACGAAAUUUUACAAUAAUAUGAUAAUUCAAUUUGUUAUAUUUAUUGUAUGCGCUUAUAUGAUUAACAAUGCGAUAGAUUCAGGAUACCUUCGGGACCCGUCUUGAAACACGGACCAAGGAGUCUAACAUAUGUGCAAGUCAUUGGGUAUUUUUAAUAAAACCCAAUGGCAUAAUUAACUUAACUGUUUUUUAAAUGGGAUUAGUUUAUAUUUUAUUAUGAAAUAUUAAUUCAAUCCCGGGGCGUUCUAUAUAGUUAUGCAUAAUGAUAUUUAUAUUAUUUAUGUCUCUAACU